This 305-nucleotide unclassified non-coding RNA is filed under the name plant metagenome. RNAcentral's name for it is "partial contains 5.8S ribosomal RNA, internal transcribed spacer 2, and large subunit ribosomal RNA". The stretch from base 1 to 105 matches the Rfam family "5.8S ribosomal RNA", at positions 50 to 154 of the family's 154-position model. The record is from RNAcentral.
GAAAUGCGAUAAGUAAUGUGAAUUGCAGAAUUCAGUGAAUCAUCGAAUCUUUGAACGCACAUUUCGCCCCUUGGUAUUCCGAGGGGCAUGCCUGUUCGAGCGUCAUUACACCACUCAAGCUAUGCUUGGUAUUGGGUGCCGUCCUUAGUUGGGCGCGCCUUAAAGACCUCGGCGAGGCCUCACCGGCUUUAGGCGUAGUAGAAUUUAUUCGAACGUCUGUCAAAGGAGAGGACUUCUGCCGACUGAAACCUUUUAUUUUUCUAGGUUGACCUCGGAUCAGGUAGGGAUACCCGCUGAACUUAAGC